Molecule: long non-coding RNA, 1047 nt
Organism: Numida meleagris (helmeted guineafowl)
Lineage: Eukaryota; Metazoa; Chordata; Aves; Galliformes; Numididae
Exons: 2
Source: RefSeq, a predicted model, not a curated record
GAAAGGAAAGGAAAGGAAAGGAAAGGAAAGGAAAGGAAAGGAAAGGAAAGGAAAGGAAAGGAAAGAAGAUAAAAAGGACUUCUUUUUUAAAGAAGUUAAAAGGAGAUAAAUAUCAAAAUACUCCGUUUGGGAUUGAAGACAGUAUUCCAGGCUGACCAGAAAUGAAAUUUGGGGCUUUUGCUUCCCAGUGGGGUUUCUGAGAGGUUCCAACCGAAGGCGGAUUCCCCCCAACCUUCUGAGUCAGUCACUGAACUGAAACAUCCAUUUUUUGGCCACCUCUCCUUUGAAGCUGCAUUCAAAGCCAGCGAGCGGCUCCAUCCCGCUGCCACCGCAGCUGCAGGGGGUUCUCCAGCGGUGCUCCAGGAAGGCCCACCCGGUGGGAUCUGCAGGGGGGGAUGGGCCCCAGCCCUGCUUCAGAACCUCAGACCCAACCUCCUGCCCGCCAGCAGCUAGGGAACCAAGGGCCCCGGAUUCUUCGAAGGGCUCAGCCUGGUGCGCACACCUUGGGUGCUGACUCCUCUGAAAAUCUGCCCCGACCUGCCUGCGCUGAGCCUUUGAAAACUGAAAUCUUGGAAUCUUUGGAAAACAGAAACUCCUCGUUUGGGACACCCAGUAUCUGAGGAGAUGCGCUCCAGGUAUCUCCAGUCGCCGCGGUGCACAGACGUGCCCUCGGGGGGCGGGGAGGGGUGAGCUCAUGUUCAGAAGGGUUUUCCCCACUGCAGAGCCUGGAAACGGAACAGCACCGCUCCCAGCACCCUCUGUGACGUCCCAGCCGUGCCCAUCCCGGUUUCUACAGCUGUGAGGGAGUGGGUAGUGAACUGCUGGAGAUCCGUGUCCCGACACCAUUGUGCCCUCUGGGUCACCGCAGCCGAUGGGUGUCACAGGGAGCUGGUGCCGGUUCCUUGCGACCGCGUCCUGCUCCACAUCUGCCAAACUCGGCCUCUCUGAAGCCAUUAAUCACGCUCUCCUCAUUUCCACUCAGGAAAUUGUCUGAAAAAACCCUGAUGUUACCGUCAAAAAAAAAAAAAAAAAAAAUUGUUUUUUUCA